This 402-nucleotide ribosomal RNA is filed under the name uncultured bacterium. RNAcentral's name for it is "bacterial SSU rRNA". It matches the Rfam family "Bacterial small subunit ribosomal RNA", at positions 355 to 774 of the family's 1533-position model. The record is from RNAcentral.
UGGGGAAUAUUGGACAGUGGGCGAAAGCCUGAUCCAGCCAUGCCGCGUGAGUGAUGAAGGCCCUAGGGUUGUAAAGCUCUUUUGUGCGGGAAGAUAAUGACGGUACCGCAAGAAUAAGCCCCGGCUAACUUCGUGCCAGCAGCCGCGGUAAUACGAAGGGGGCUAGCGUUGCUCGGAAUCACUGGGCGUAAAGGGUGCGUAGGCGGGUUUCUAAGUCAGAGGUGAAAGCCUGGAGCUCAACUCCAGAACUGCCUUUGAUACUGGAAGUCUUGAGUUCGGGAGAGGUGCGUGGAACUGCGAGUGUAGAGGUGAAAUUCGUAGAUAUUCGCAGGAACCCCAGUGGCGAAGGCGGCUCACUGGCCCGAUACUGACGCUGAGGCACGAAAGCGUGGGGAGCAAACA